UCGGGAAUUUUGGGCAAUGGGCGAAAGCCUGACCCAGCAACGCCGCGUGAAGGAUGAAGUAUUUCGGUAUGUAAACUUCGAAAGAAUAGGAAGAAUAAAUGACGGUACUAUUUAUAAGGUCCGGCUAACUACGUGCCAGCAGCCGCGGUAAUACGUAGGGACCAAGCGUUGUUCGGAUUUACUGGGCGUAAAGGGCGCGUAGGCGGCAAUUCAAGUCAUCUGUGAAAUCUCCGGGCUUAACUCGGAACGGUCAGAUGAUACUGCUUUGCUAGAGUGCAGAAGGGGCAAUCGGAAUUCUUGGUGUAGCGGUGAAAUGCGUAGAUAUCAAGAGGAACACCUGAGGUGAAGACGGGUUGCUGGGCUGACACUGACGCUGAUGCACGAAGGCCAGGGUAGCGAACGGGAUUAGAUACCCUUGUAGUCCCUGAGCGGGCUGGCAAGGCGCAU
RNAcentral lists this ribosomal RNA (447 nucleotides) under uncultured bacterium. RNAcentral describes it as "bacterial SSU rRNA". It matches the Rfam family "Bacterial small subunit ribosomal RNA", at positions 355 to 825 of the family's 1533-position model. The record is from RNAcentral.